CAGCCGCCGCGGGAAUACGGAGGGUGCAAGCGUUAAUCGGAAUUACUGGGCGUAAAGCGCACGCAGGCGGUCUGUCAAGUCGGAUGUGAAAUCCCCGGGCUCAACCUGGGAACUGCAUUCGAAACUGGCAGGCUAGAGUCUUGUAGAGGGGGGUAGAAUUCCAGGUGUAGCGGUGAAAUGCGUAGAGAUCUGGAGGAAUACCGGUGGCGAAGGCGGCCCCCUGGACAAAGACUGACGCUCAGGUGCGAAAGCGUGGGGAGCAAACAGGAUUAGAUACCCCAGUAGUCCCUGUCUCUUAUAC
Molecule: ribosomal RNA, 301 nt
Filed under: uncultured bacterium
Lineage: Bacteria
Description: partial 16S ribosomal RNA
Rfam family: Bacterial small subunit ribosomal RNA
Source: RNAcentral